This is a non-coding RNA of Petromyzon marinus (sea lamprey), 1395 nucleotides long. The record is from RefSeq and is a predicted model, not a curated record. Lineage: Eukaryota; Metazoa; Chordata; Hyperoartia; Petromyzontiformes; Petromyzontidae.
CCCAGGUGUCUCGGCUCCAGCCGGUCCUUGCCUCGGGACACGGGGACCGGUUCGCGGAGCGGGGCCGCGCUCCGCUACCCUCGAGGGAGGACCGCGCGCGGAUCUGUGGCGGUGUGAGCAUGAACGAUGCGAGCCGCGAUGCCAGCGAGCGAACGGAGAGCGGAGAGAUGAGAGCGAGAGGUGGAUGUGGAGGCGGCGCGCGCGACCCACGUGACAGCCGGGCGCGUGCAUCGCGCGCGGCACGCAGCCGGCAAACAAGCACACCCGUGAUGGUUUCGUGUCGAGACGACCAAGUGGGAGCCCAAGCCACACUGGCAGAUGCGAAGCCGAGAGCGGGGAUGGAAUCGCGGCGCUGCAGGAAGUCCCGCGCACCUGGGGCCGGGAAUCUUCAAAGCAUUUUACCCGCCCCGACCACCGCAGUGGUCCCAACAGCCCCCCACGUCCCCACCCUCUCCCUCAUCCCCCUUUCCACCUCUCACUCUCUUGCUCCAUUAGUGGUGCCAGCAGUGGAGCAGGCAACCUGCAGGGCUGCGCCUUUACCUUUUCAUAUAUAUAUUUUUAUUUGUUUUACUCCACCGUGGAGCCAGUGUCUCCACUGUGGGGCCAGUGUCUCCACUGUGGAGCCAGUUUCUCCAACGUGGAGCCAGUAUCUCCACUGUGGAGCCAAUUUCUCCACUGUGGAAACCAGUGUCUCCAACGUGGAGCCAGUAUCUCCACUGUGGGGCCAGUUUCUCCAUUGUGGAGCCAGUUUCUCCACGGUAGAAAUCAGUGUCUCCACCGUGGAGCCAGUAUCUCCACUGUAGAGUCAGUUUCUCCACUGUGGAAACCAGUGUCUCCAACGUGGAGCCAGUAUCUCCACUGUGGGGCCAGUUUCUCCAACAUGGAGCCAGUGUCUCCACCGUGGAACUAGUGUCUCCACGGUGGAGCCAGUCUGUCCACCGUGGAACCAGUGUCUCCACGGUGGAGCCAGUGUCUCCACCGUGGAAACCAGUGUCCCCACCAUGGAGCCAGUUUCUCCUCCGUGGAGCCAGUUUAUUUACCAUGGAAACCAGUCCCUCCAGCAUGGAGCCAGUGUCUCCACCGUGGAGCCAGGGCGUGCGGCGGGCACAGCUGCACAGGGCAGAACGUUCGCUCGGCAUGUGAUCGAGGCAGACAAAUUAUUAUUUUUUUGGUGGCGAUGUCGUCGACGAGAUAAACGGUUCAUUCCACAGGAUAGGCGUGGGGGGGGGGAGGGGGGGGAUGCGCAGCGUAACAUUUCUCAGCGUCGCGCGGAGGGCGUCACUCAGGAUGGGAAGUGGCGAUGGAGGGGCGCCUGUCAAAGACAACAGGCGAUGCCACAGAGGUUAUUUCCUGCUGGCCGACUUUAAGAAGAAACUCAAUCAGGGAUGAGGCAAG